Molecule: ribosomal RNA, 566 nt
Filed under: uncultured Trichoderma
Lineage: Eukaryota; Fungi; Ascomycota; Sordariomycetes; Hypocreales; Hypocreaceae
Description: eukaryotic LSU rRNA
Rfam family: 5.8S ribosomal RNA (bases 197-350)
Source: RNAcentral
AGGGAUCAUUACCGAGUUUACAACUCCCAAACCCAAUGUGAACCAUACCAAACUGUUGCCUCGGCGGGGUCACGCCCCGGGUGCGUCGCAGCCCCGGAACCAGGCGCCCGCCGGAGGGACCAACCAAACUCUUUUCUGUAGUCCCCUCGCGGACGUUAUUUCUUACAGCUCUGAGCAAAAAUUCAAAAUGAAUCAAAACUUUCAACAACGGAUCUCUUGGUUCUGGCAUCGAUGAAGAACGCAGCGAAAUGCGAUAUGUAAUGUGAAUUGCAGAAUUCAGUGAAUCAUCGAAUCUUUGAACGCACAUUGCGCCCGCCAGUAUUCUGGCGGGCAUGCCUGUCCGAGCGUCAUUUCAACCCUCGAACCCCUCCGGGGGGUCGGCGUUGGGGAUCGGGAACCCCUAAGACGGGAUCCCGGCCCCGAAAUACAGUGGCGGUCUCGCCGCAGCCUCUCCUGCGCAGUAGUUUGCACAACUCGCACCGGGAGCGCGGCGCGUCCACGUCCGUAAAACACCCAACUUCUGAAAUGUUGACCUCGGAUCAGGUAGGAAUACCCGCUGAACUUAA